RNAcentral lists this ribosomal RNA (253 nucleotides) under uncultured bacterium. Its description in RNAcentral is "partial 16S ribosomal RNA". It matches the Rfam family "Bacterial small subunit ribosomal RNA", at positions 524 to 776 of the family's 1533-position model. The record is from RNAcentral.
UACGUAGGGGGCAAGCGUUGUCCGGAAUCAUUGGGCGUAAAGCGCGCGUAGGCGGCCCGGUAAGUCCGCUCUGAAAGUCCAGGGCUCAACCCUGGAAAGCGGGUGGAUACUGCCGGGCUAGAAUCCGGAAGAGGCGAGUGGAAUUCCUGGUGUAGCGGUGGAAUGCGCAGAUAUCGGGAAGAACACCCGUGGCGAAGGCGGUUCUCUGGGCCGAUAUUGACGCUGAGGAGCGAAAGCGUGGGGAGCGAACAGG